UACGAAGGGUGCUAGCGUUGCUCGGAAUCACUGGGCGUAAAGCGCACGUAGGCGGAUUGCUAAGUCAGGGGUGAAAUCCUGGAGCUCAACUCCAGAACUGCCUUUGAUACUGGCGAUCUCGAGUCCGGGAGAGGUGAGUGGAACUGCGAGUGUAGAGGUGAAAUUCGUAGAUAUUCGCAAGAACACCUAUGGCGAAGGCAGCUCUCUGGGACGGUACUGACGCUGAGACGCGAAAGCGUGGGGAGCGAACAGG
Molecule: ribosomal RNA, 253 nt
Filed under: uncultured bacterium
Lineage: Bacteria
Description: partial 16S ribosomal RNA
Rfam family: Bacterial small subunit ribosomal RNA
Source: RNAcentral